CCUUGACAAGCAAGCCGAUGUUUGAUGCUGGAUUAAAUCGUCUUUUGUUGACAUUAUCGUCAAUGCUUUAAACUGCUAAGUGUUAUCGGGUGUACAGUAUUUGUUGUAUAGGUUGUGCUACGACGACAGGAGCAUCGAGAAGCGGAUGUUCAGUAUUGUCGGCCAUAAAGUAGAAAGCACUACUAAACGUUGCUGCACUGUGUAGUGUUUCCUACUUUAUGGAUGACGAGACUGUUGGCUGCAAAGGAGCGAUACACCAAGGAGCGACGUCGUCUCAUUCAAUUGAAAAUGGAAUAUAAAUUGAUGCUGUUGUUAGUUUUUCUUUUUUUUUUUUCCUCUAUAGCGAAAAAAAAUCUAAUAAGCACUGCUUAAAAUGUUGGUCUUUAUUUGCAAAAGCAGGAGAGACAUUGCUUAAAUAUUGAAACAGAAUACAAAAAAGAUUAAAUACAAUAAUUUGCUCAAUAUUUAUCUGACAUCUGGUAUUUUUUUCACAUAGUACGGUGCAACAAAGCUUAAAAAGUAUAAUACAACUGUACAAGGCCAAAAUAAAAAAUGUAUAAAAAAUAUAUACAAAAAUGUUGAACAAUGUAAGCUGUUGUGUUAUUUCUAAAUACAUUUCUUACAAAAAGUGAUUUUUUUUUUUUAGUUUGUAUGUUUUUUUUGUACAAGUGGUUUGUUUCAAUAAAAGUGCACAGGUAACUCUGUUGUUAAUCAGUGUCUUGUUGUGCAUAUGGAUUAGGUUAGAACUGGUUAAUUAAUUUAGAUUUAAUUAGCAUUGGCGGGAUAGAAUUGUUCAUGUGUAUUCAUUAGCAAACAAGCUAAUAUUUUAAUCCCACGGUAAAAGCUGCAGGAAGUUGGACGGGACCAAGCCUCGUCUUCCUUUAAGGUCACCCUGAAAAAGAACGAGUUUGUCAGCAAACAAACUACAGAAAAUUGCAAAAGUCUUAAAUGACAAGAUGCUCACGUAAUAGAAUCCGUCUGGAUCCAUGUCUCCUAAAACAUAAAUGAUGUCACCCGAACAAAAGCCCAGUUCAUUCUGUUGGAGAAAUCAUGACAUCUUAAAUUAGAGACAUUUUAGAUGAAAUGUUAUUUAAUGUAUUGGUACUUAUUUCACGUACUUCACUGUCAACAUUAGGAGAACUUUCCCAGGGGUCGUAGUCAAAUAUGGCCACCAUUCGGCGUACUACCGUGCCUUCGGGAACACUGGACACCUCGCUCACAUCCGGAGUCAAAGACAUUCCUACAGGAACCAACACAAUGAAAAAAACAACUAAUCAACGAAGAAAUUAACAAACAAAGUAAUAAAGUACACAAACUAAUAGCAUUUCUACAAGCAUCUAAUUUGAAUAACAAAUAAAUAACAAACAUGCUAGUAACUAAACAACUAAUAAUAUGAAUAACUAACCGAAAUAACGUAAGAAACAAAUCAACUAUAGAAAAAACUAAAGAGAAAUGGCAUAAAUUAAGAAGUUAAAGUUAAAGUACCACUGAUAGUCACACACACACUAGGUGUGGGGAAAUUUGUCCUCCGUAUUUGACGCAUGGCCUUGUUCCCCCCCUGGAAGGUGAGGGGAGCAGUGAUUAGCAACGGUGGCCGUGCUCGGGAAUAAUUUUUUGUGAUUUAACCCCCAAUUCCAACCCUUGAUGCUGAGUGCCAAGCAGCGAGGGAUGAAGCCCUGCUGCAUGAGCAGAUGCUUGAGAUAGUCGUCAUCCACUGGGACUUCGGCCACCAUGUUACUCGGCACGUAGCCCGAGAGGCCGCCCGAUUCUCCGUGGUAGAAGCCGUCGCAGUCUUUGUCCCCGAACACCUAGACAGGUGCAAAGACACUCGGCUGUUGCGGUUUGUUGUUGGCGACCGAUAAACAGGCGCAGCUGCUGACAUCUUCAGUUAAAUGGCGGUAAGUUUAAACAGGAAGUGAGAAGAAAUGUGCUCAUUCAAGCGAAAGAAAACAGGAAACUGUUUGAUCCUGUCAGGGAUACUUCAGUGGCGACGCUUGCACAGUCUGACAUGAUUAAUUUCAAAAACAUUUUGCAAACGUUCCCUUUUUUUUUCAAGAAAAUGUAACUAUGUUCUUAUAUGUGUAUUUCUUAUAUCUUGUAUUAACAUUUUUCUUAAAAAGAUGUGAUUUUUUUUUGUGAUACUUCACAACUUUUUCGCAACAAUAUAUAACAGGGUUAUCGUGAUAGCAGACUCAAUUGAAUUUUCACGAUUCGAUUUGAUCCCACAAUAAAAAAUAAAACAAACUAAUUAAAA
Molecule: long non-coding RNA, 2254 nt
Organism: Nerophis ophidion (straightnose pipefish)
Lineage: Eukaryota; Metazoa; Chordata; Actinopteri; Syngnathiformes; Syngnathidae
Exons: 2
Source: RefSeq, a predicted model, not a curated record